GGAUCUUUAGCUCAGUUGGUUAGAGCAACCGGCUCAUAACCGGUAUGUCCUGGGUUCAAAUCCCAGAGGGCCCA
RNAcentral lists this transfer RNA (74 nucleotides) under Blautia sp. An81. RNAcentral describes it as "tRNA-Met". It matches the Rfam family "tRNA". Rfam says of the family: Transfer RNA (tRNA) molecules are approximately 80 nucleotides in length. Their secondary structure includes four short double-helical elements and three loops (D, anti-codon, and T loops). Further hydrogen bonds mediate the characteristic L-shaped molecular structure. tRNAs have two regions of fundamental functional importance: the anti-codon, which is responsible for specific mRNA codon recognition, and the 3' end, to which the tRNAs corresponding amino acid is attached (by aminoacyl-tRNA synthetases). tRNAs cope with the degeneracy of the genetic code in two manners: having more than one tRNA (with a specific anti-codon) for a particular amino acid; and 'wobble' base-pairing, i.e. permitting non-standard base-pairing at the 3rd anti-codon position. Lineage: Bacteria; Bacillati; Bacillota; Clostridia; Lachnospirales; Lachnospiraceae. The record is from RNAcentral.